GAGUUUGAUCGUGGCUCAGAUUGAACGCUGGCGGCAUGCCUUACACAUGCAAGUCGAACGGCAGCACGGGAGCUUGCUCCUGGUGGCGAGUGGCGAACGGGUGAGUAAUGCAUCGGAACGUAUCCUGGAGUGGGGGGAUAACGUAGCGAAAGUUACGCUAAUACCGCAUAUUCUGUGAGCAGGAAAGCGGGGGACCUUCGGGCCUCGCGCUCUUGGAGCGGCCGAUGUCGGAUUAGCUAGUUGGUGAGGUAAAGGCUCACCAAGGCGACGAUCCGUAGCAGGUCUGAGAGGAUGAUCUGCCACACUGGAACUGAGACACGGUCCAGACGUCCUACGGGAGGCAGCAGUGGGAAUUUUGGACAAUGGGGGCAACCCUGAUCCAGCCAUGCCGCGUGAGUGAAGAAGGCCU
RNAcentral lists this ribosomal RNA (409 nucleotides) under bacterium enrichment culture clone ALO1_GLFRUDD03HHFT8. RNAcentral's name for it is "bacterial SSU rRNA". It matches the Rfam family "Bacterial small subunit ribosomal RNA", at positions 9 to 417 of the family's 1533-position model. The record is from RNAcentral.